RNAcentral lists this unclassified non-coding RNA (281 nucleotides) under plant metagenome. RNAcentral's name for it is "partial contains small subunit ribosomal RNA, internal transcribed spacer 1, and 5.8S ribosomal RNA". The record is from RNAcentral.
UUUCCGUAGGUGAACCUGCGGAAGGAUCAUUGUCGAAGCCUGCCCAGCAGAACGACCCGCGAACUUGUAUAAACAACCGGGGGCAGGGGCGAUCUCGCCCCGUGCCCUCGAACGGCAGGGAGACACUCGUGCCUUCAUGUCGAACAACGAGCCCCGGCGCGGUCUGCGCCAAGGAACUUCAAUUAAAGAGUGCCUCCGGUCGCCUCGGAAACGAUGCGCGUGUCGGAGGCGAAUCUUGUACAAAACCAUAACGACUCUCGGCAACGGAUAUCUCGGCUCUC